RNAcentral lists this ribosomal RNA (957 nucleotides) under Staphylococcus warneri. RNAcentral describes it as "bacterial SSU rRNA". It matches the Rfam family "Bacterial small subunit ribosomal RNA", at positions 58 to 995 of the family's 1533-position model. The record is from RNAcentral. Lineage: Bacteria; Bacillati; Bacillota; Bacilli; Caryophanales; Staphylococcaceae.
CAAGUCGAGCGAACAGAUAAGGAGCUUGCUCCUUUGACGUUAGCGGCGGACGGGUGAGUAACACGUGGAUAACCUACCUAUAAGACUGGGAUAACUUCGGGAAACCGGAGCUAAUACCGGAUAACAUAUUGAACCGCAUGGUUCAAUAGUGAAAGGCGGCUUUGCUGUCACUUAUAGAUGGAUCCGCGCCGUAUUAGCUAGUUGGUAAGGUAACGGCUUACCAAGGCAACGAUACGUAGCCGACCUGAGAGGGUGAUCGGCCACACUGGAACUGAGACACGGUCCAGACUCCUACGGGAGGCAGCAGUAGGGAAUCUUCCGCAAUGGGCGAAAGCCUGACGGAGCAACGCCGCGUGAGUGAUGAAGGUCUUCGGAUCGUAAAACUCUGUUAUCAGGGAAGAACAAAUGUGUAAGUAACUGUGCACAUCUUGACGGUACCUGAUCAGAAAGCCACGGCUAACUACGUGCCAGCAGCCGCGGUAAUACGUAGGUGGCAAGCGUUAUCCGGAAUUAUUGGGCGUAAAGCGCGCGUAGGCGGUUUUUUAAGUCUGAUGUGAAAGCCCACGGCUCAACCGUGGAGGGUCAUUGGAAACUGGAAAACUUGAGUGCAGAAGAGGAAAGUGGAAUUCCAUGUGUAGCGGUGAAAUGCGCAGAGAUAUGGAGGAACACCAGUGGCGAAGGCGACUUUCUGGUCUGUAACUGACGCUGAUGUGCGAAAGCGUGGGGAUCAAACAGGAUUAGAUACCCUGGUAGUCCACGCCGUAAACGAUGAGUGCUAAGUGUUAGGGGGUUUCCGCCUCUUAGUGCUGCAGCUAACGCAUUAAGCACUCCGCCUGGGGAGUACGACCGCAAGGUUGAAACUCAAAGGAAUUGACGGGGACCCGCACAAGCGGUGGGAGCAUGUGGUUUAAUUCGAAGCAACGCGAAGAACCUUACCAAAUCUUGACAUCCUUUGAC